This 506-nucleotide ribosomal RNA is filed under the name uncultured bacterium. Its description in RNAcentral is "partial 16S ribosomal RNA". It matches the Rfam family "Bacterial small subunit ribosomal RNA", at positions 29 to 523 of the family's 1533-position model. The record is from RNAcentral.
AGUGAACGCUGGCGGUAGGCCUAACACAUGCAAGUCGAACGGCAGCACAGGAGAGCUUGCUCUCUGGGUGGCGAGUGGCGGACGGGUGAGGAAUACAUCGGAAUCUACUCUGUCGUGGGGGAUAACGUAGGGAAACUUACGCUAAUACCGCAUACGACCUACGGGUGAAAGCAGGGGAUCUUCGGACCUUGCGCGAUUGAAUGAGCCGAUGUCGGAUUAGCUAGUUGGCGGGGUAAAGGCCCACCAAGGCGACGAUCCGUAGCUGGUCUGAGAGGAUGAUCGGGCACACUGGAACUGAGACACGGUCCAGACGCCUACGGGAGGCAGCAGUGGGGAAUAUUGGACAAUGGGCGCAAGCCUGAUCCAGCCAUACCGCGUGGGUGAAGAAGGCCUUCGGGUUGUAAAGCCCUUUUGUUGGGAAAGAAAUCCAGCUGGCUAAUACCCGGUUGGGAUGACGGUACCCAAAGAAUAAGCACCGGCUAACUUCGUGCCAGCCGCCGCAGUAA